Molecule: ribosomal RNA, 235 nt
Filed under: uncultured bacterium
Lineage: Bacteria
Description: partial 16S ribosomal RNA
Rfam family: Bacterial small subunit ribosomal RNA
Source: RNAcentral
CGGCGGACGGGUGAGUAAUGUCUGGGAAACUGCCUGAUGGAGGGGGAUAACUACUGGAAACGGUAGCUAAUACCGCAUAACGUCGCAAGACCAAAGAGGGGGACCUUAGGGCCUCUUGCCAUCGGAUGUGCCCAGAUGGGAUUAGCUAGUAGGUGGGGUAACGGCUCACCUAGGCGACGAUCCCUAGCUGGUCUGAGAGGAUGACCAGCCACACUGGAACUGAGACACGGUCCAG